Saimiri boliviensis boliviensis (Bolivian squirrel monkey) is the source of this 515-nucleotide non-coding RNA. The record is from RefSeq and is a predicted model, not a curated record. Lineage: Eukaryota; Metazoa; Chordata; Mammalia; Primates; Cebidae.
CCCGUGCUUGAUUCAUCAUUUGGCCUAGUGUAGAAAACAAGGUUCGAAAUGAUUUCCCAAUCAUCUUCUUACAACCACUGCUACUGAUGGGGAUCGGAUGCACUGCAGUUCUCGGCCUUUGCAGUGAACAUUUUAUUUUUACCAUCUUUGAAAUCUGUCAGCCGAUCUUACGCCCUGUCACUCUGCAUUUUCUUUCAGUAUCCCCUACACGCCGUGUCUCGAGACUCAACCCCGCUGAGCUCUGGGGUCGUAGCUGCAGCUGCUUCGGCACUCCAAGACCAGAGAGGAAGCAAAGGCAGAGCUGCUCAGCCAGGCGUAUCUGCUUUGGCCUUGCAGGAAUCGCCGCCCACUGAGCUUCUGUCCAAACCUCAGUGGAUCAUAAUCUAAGUUUGGCAAACACUGAGCCGGGAGGAGUCAUGUCUGCGGGGCCCCAAGAGUCCCUGAAUUUGGGUCCUGAUCACCCUGCUCCACCCAGUCGAGUUGGCACAUGCACUCAGCCCAUAAGGAAAAAGGGA